Long non-coding RNA from Hippocampus comes (tiger tail seahorse), 458 nucleotides. RefSeq lists it as uncharacterized. The record is from RefSeq and is a predicted model, not a curated record. The transcript has 4 exons. Lineage: Eukaryota; Metazoa; Chordata; Actinopteri; Syngnathiformes; Syngnathidae.
GUUGUUGGUGAUGUGAGGCAGCUUAGCGAUGACCAGGUCGACCUUCUGCUGGGCUUCUCCGGCCGGGUUGGAGGCCACGCAGGUGUACUAUUCUUGUCUGGAAUGAUAGCAAGGAAGCUAUAAGGCGGGGGGCGGCAUCUCAAAUGCAAUUUCAGAGGCAACUGCAAUUUCUCUGCUUGGACUGGAUGUCAAGAUCUCAACCCGUGUGGGUUUGCGUGUGUGUGUGCAUCACACUAAGACGACCCUGUUGAAUCAAGAGAAGUACUGUUCAUCAGCAUCUACAAGUCUCCCCUGCCAUUUUGCAAGUGUUUUCCUUCGCGCGGCAUCAGAGCGGGAAGCAAAAGUCAGGAUAGGAUGGAGUGCUGCAUGCAAGUACACACCUCACGUCAAUUACACACCACCCUUACCCCAUCACGAGAGUUGAUUGACAUCUAUGGGGAGAUUUCCUUUUACCUUGC